UACGUAGGGUGCGAGCGUUGUCCGGAAUUAUUGGGCGUAAAGAGCUCGUAGGCGGUUUGUCACGUCUGCUGUGAAAACUGGAGGCUCAACCUCCAGCCUGCAGUGGGUACGGGCAGACUAGAGUGCGGUAGGGGAGAUUGGAAUUCCUGGUGUAGCGGUGAAAUGCGCAGAUAUCAGGAGGAACACCGGUGGCGAAGGCGGGUCUCUGGGCCGAUACUGACGCUGAGGAGCGAAAGCGUGGGGAGCGAACAGG
RNAcentral lists this ribosomal RNA (253 nucleotides) under uncultured bacterium. RNAcentral's name for it is "partial 16S ribosomal RNA". It matches the Rfam family "Bacterial small subunit ribosomal RNA", at positions 524 to 776 of the family's 1533-position model. The record is from RNAcentral.